UACAGAGGGUGCGAGCGUUGUUCGGAAUUACUGGGCGUAAAGCGCGCGCAGGCGGCUCUUUAAGUCUCGUGGUCAAAUGCCGGGGCUCAACCCCGAGCGUGCCGGGGAUACUGGAGGGCUGGAGACAGGUAGAGGCAAGCGGAAUUCCGGGUGUAGCGGUGGAAUGCAUAGAGAUCCGGAAGAACACCGGAGGCGAAGGCGGCUUGCUGGACCUGGUCUGACGCUGAGGCGCGAAAGCGUGGGGAGCGAACAGG
This 254-nucleotide ribosomal RNA is filed under the name uncultured bacterium. RNAcentral's name for it is "partial 16S ribosomal RNA". It matches the Rfam family "Bacterial small subunit ribosomal RNA", at positions 524 to 776 of the family's 1533-position model. The record is from RNAcentral.